RNAcentral lists this unclassified non-coding RNA (2053 nucleotides) under Cotesia glomerata. RNAcentral's name for it is "flotillin-2, transcript variant X2". The record is from RNAcentral. Lineage: Eukaryota; Metazoa; Arthropoda; Insecta; Hymenoptera; Braconidae.
GCGCGUUUCCUCGUACUCGUAAAACAUAUACUGAGCGCGUAACUAAGUGCGAGUGUGUUAGUACUAGAACUCUCACAAUUACAAGUGUUGUGUCAACGCAACAAAAGUAUAAUAAAAAAAGAGUCAUAUUAUCUCAUCGCGUUGGUGGUUAGCUCUCAGUGUCACUGGGGCUAGUUACUAUCUAUUAAAAAUCAAAUUUAUUGUAAAAACAACGCCGAGUGUAUAAUAUAAAGUGGGUGUUUUAUUUAAAGAACUGUGCCUCUAUUUAAAUAAAUACUUAAAUUAUUAUUGUAUUAAAGUUUCUAAAAGUUUACUAGGAUUUAUUUAAUAGACAAGCCAUGGGUAACGUCCACACUUGCGGUCCAAACGAAGCUCUCGUCGUCUCAGGAGGAUGUUGCGGAUCUAUGAAAAAACGAACGAUUGUAGGCGGGUACGCAUUCUGCUGGUGGUUUGUUACGGAUGUCCAACGUCUGUCUCUGGAGGUAAUGACUCUAAACCCGGUGUGUGAGAGCGUCGAAACAGCCCAGGGUGUCCCACUAACCGUGACUGGAGUCGCCCAGUGCAAGAUAAUGAAGGCUGAUGAAUUACUGCAUACUGCGAGCGAGCAGUUUUUGGGGAAGAGCACUCAUGAAAUUAAGUGCACUAUCUUGUCUACUUUGGAGGGACAUCUUAGAGCUAUUCUUGGUACGCUGUCGGUCGAAGAAGUUUACAAAGAUCGCGACCAAUUCGCAGCACUAGUACGCGAAGUUGCUGCUCCGGAUGUUGGACGUAUGGGAAUAGAGAUAUUGUCGUUUACUAUCAAGGAUGUUUAUGAUGAUGUUCAAUAUUUAGCUUCUCUGGGUAAAGCUCAGACGGCUGCUGUUAAACGUGAUGCUGAUAUUGGUGUUGCUGAGGCUAAUCGUGAUGCUGGAAUUCGGGAAGCUGAAUGUGAAAAAACAGCAAUGGACAUAAAAUACAACACGGAUUCUAAAAUAGAAGACAACGCCCGUCUCUUUCAACUACAAAAAGCGAAUUUCGAUCAAGAAGUCAAUACAGCUAAAGCCGAAGCUCAGCUUGCCUACGAACUUCAAGCGGCUAAAAUAAAGCAGAAAAUAAGAAAUGAGGAGAUUCAGAUUGAAGUUGUCGAGAGACAUAAGAUGAUAGAGGUUGAAGAACAGGAGGUCCGUCGUAAGGAACACGAGCUUAAGAGUACUGUUCGUUUGCCUGCUGAAGCUGAGCAUUAUAAGAUGACCACUGUUGCGGAAGGAAAAAGAACGCAAACUGUUGAAAAUGCUAAAGCCGAAGCCGAGAAAAUAAGAUUGAUAGGAGAAUCAGAAGCUAAAACAUUAGACAUUAUUGGUACCGCAGAGGCCGAAAGAAUGCGUUUGAAGGCCCAAGUCUACAAAAAAUAUAACGAGGCUGCUAUAUUGAAUAUUGCUUUGAACGCAAUGCCUAAGAUUGCCGCCGAGAUCGCUGCCCCUCUGGCGAGAACAGACGAAAUCGUACUACUGGGAGGUAACGACGGCGUAACUAACGAACUGACCCGUCUGGUGGGUCAAGUACCACCGGCGGUGCAAGCACUCACUGGUGUUGACCUUUCUAAAGUUUUAGGAAAAAUUCCGGGGGCUAAAUAAUUCAAAUGUUUAACUAUUAUUGAUAAUGAUAAUGAAAAAACUAACUAACUAACUAACUAACUAAUCCCUAAAUCUACGUUGAAAUUAACAAUAACUAAAAUAACUAACACUAAUUUUAUUAUGAUGUUCAUUCAAGCUUGUAUAGCAGUUUAAAUUUUUAAUUGACCUCUACCUCAUUAAUUUGGACGUAGAUUCUGGUUGUUUCACAUCUUUAUCACGCGCACAUUAUUAUUUCUUACGAUGGUCUUGUUUUGUUUUAUUUUUAUAUAAAUAUAUAUAUAUAUUUAUUUAGGCCUGAUAAUUAUUUACACAGCAAUAGAAAAGAGUGACCUGAAAUCUUUUUAUACACAUUUAUUUCUUACAGUACAUUCCAGAUUUUCGAUACUAAUUUUAUUGCAUUGCACUGCUCCCGAGUAAAAAAAAUUAUAUAUAAUUAUAUA